Molecule: ribosomal RNA, 207 nt
Filed under: uncultured bacterium
Lineage: Bacteria
Description: partial 16S ribosomal RNA
Rfam family: Bacterial small subunit ribosomal RNA
Source: RNAcentral
CGCGUAGGCGGUCUCUUAAGUUAGAUGUGAAAGCCCGGGGCUCAACCCCGGAAGUGCAUUUGAAACUAAGGGACUUGAGUAUGGGAGAGGGAAGUGGAAUUCCUGGUGUAGCGGUGAAAUGCGUAGAUAUCAGGAGGAACACCGGUGGCGAUGGCGACUUCCUGGACCAAUACUGACGCUGAGGCGCGAAGGCGUGGGGAGCAAACA